UGUACUCAGAGUGCGUAUGCACUCUGUAUGCACUCUGCUGUGUCAGUGUCUGACUUUAAUCUGCUGGGAAAAGUAGGCCUACAGGCAGGAGGUCGUGUCGUGUCAGGACUCGCAGCAGCUGCAACAGGGGCUCCAGGUUACCCUCACUGAGGUACCCACGUCUCUCCAGCUCCAGCAGCAGUUCUAGACCACUCUUGGGCUUGUGGCGGGCAGCAGUAGGGCAGGCCAAGGCAGGACCCUUGGGCUGUAACCGCCGCCAGGCCUCCAGGAGCACUGGGCUGGGGGAGACUCCUUUACUGGCCUCAGGGUCUUCCUCACCGGGCUCGCUGGUCCAGCCAGCUGGGUCCAAGGGGUGCCCUCCAGCCGGAUAGGUCUCAUCCAAGAGGAACGACAGCACCUCAACGUCUGUCUCUGUCAGUUGAGAACCGACAACUUCAAACAUCUCGUGUAGAGAGAGCAUCCCAUAGUACGUCAGGCACUCAGUCUCAUCCCAGUACAGAGAGUCUCGGAGAGAGUACCUUGGACGACGCAUGGUUGCCAUUGUUUACAAACUAGCUGGCUAUCCUUUCCCAAUGCACCUUGGCCAGACGUUUCUAUGUGAUAAGAAUAAAGUUAAUUAGACAAUGUGAGUAGCAAUGAAGUAACGACUCAAAAUGUCAAACUAAACAACAGGAGGACUGGCUAGGUUUAUCAGGUUAUGAAAUAACAAGCCAGAUAGCAGCCACAACGCGAAUGGACAAUACGAUUUUGACAUGGACAGUUACAGGCUUUAACAUGCAAGCAACUAUCUAAUAAUAAGCGAUGUGGAGGUGUGAAACACAAAGCUACUUCGUUUUCGUUGUGGCAACGUUACAGAGCUCGAGAUCUCGCCGAGCCACCAUACCUUGCAAGUACAAACUGUGUUGACAGUGCAACAAAUUACGUUACGUAACAGACGUUCCACUGGAAGAAAAAAAACUGCACUUUAAAUUCAGAUUGACAGUCCUUGAAAACGGUCCAAAAUAGAGAUGGUCCCUCAUACAUAGCUACAUUUGUCUCAAUUUGAUAGCAAGCUAGAUGGAAACAUCAAAAUAAUUAGUUGCAGCUGGAGGAACCAUUUGGGUAGCUAGAUAGCUAACGUUAGCUACGAAAUUAUCGCUAGCUAGCAACAACAACAGCUGACUAUACCAUGAAGAUGAAUCAAGACGUUCAAAUACAUGUAAAGACUAAAGGCGGUAAUUCAUUGUCAAUAUAAUAUUGUUAAUCGUUGCAACAAUCUAAAUAAUGUGUUAUUUUGUGAAACUCGCCUUCGUUGUUCGAAGAUGGUCAAUGUUGUCAAUACAGCGGGGGUGUAUUCAUUAGUCAGAUUCGGUUUUAAAACGUUUUUCCUGUUGCAAAACGGAAACCAUUUACUCGAAGAAGCAAACAGAAAAAAUGGAACAGGAACGAAGCGGGGAGGGACCUGCCUAAAUGUGUCCAAUAGAAACUCGUUUUCGUUGCAAAACGUUUUGCAACUGAAUCCACUAAUGAAUACGCCUCGUCUCGCACGCAGAGUUGGCAGUAGAACAUCAACAGGCAGUAACCAAUCACUGCACUUAAUUUUUUAAGACGUGUUGGCAGUGAUCUACCGCCAUUUGCUAACUACACUGGGUAGUACUGGGUAGUUAGCAAAGAGACGAAGAUGCUGUAGUCAGACCUACUCAUUUUAUUCAUGAAGAAUGUGAAUGAGGCAGUAUUGCUGAUUCAAGACAGUAUGACCUAUCAGAUAAUUUUCCCGGAAUAUCUAAUAAACAUCCUGUUUUCACCUUGUA
Long non-coding RNA from Salvelinus namaycush (lake trout), 1790 nucleotides. RefSeq lists it as uncharacterized. NCBI's taxonomy places the organism in Eukaryota, Metazoa, Chordata, Actinopteri, Salmoniformes, Salmonidae. The record is from RefSeq and is a predicted model, not a curated record. The transcript is spliced from 2 exons.